CCUACGGGUGGCUGCAGUGGGGAAUAUUGCACAAUGGGCGCAAGCCUGAUGCAGCCAUGCCGCGUGUGUGAAGAAGGCCUUCGGGUUGUAAAGCACUUUCAGCGGGGAGGAAGGCGUUAAGGUUAAUAACCUUGGCGAUUGACGUUACCCGCAGAAGAAGCACCGGCUAACUCCGUGCCAGCAGCCGCGGUAAUACGGAGGGUGCAAGCGUUAAUCGGAAUUACUGGGCGUAAAGCGCACGCAGGCGGUCUGUCAAGUCGGAUGUGAAAUCCCCGGGCUCAACCUGGGAACUGCAUUCGAAACUGGCAGGCUAGAGUCUUGUAGAGGGGGGUAGAAUUCCAGGUGUAGCGGUGAAAUGCGUAGAGAUCUGGAGGAAUACCGGUGGCGAAGGCGACCCCCUGGACAAAGACUGACGCUCAGGUGCGAAAGCGUGGGGAGCAAACAGGAUUAGAUACCCCGGUAGUC
RNAcentral lists this ribosomal RNA (465 nucleotides) under uncultured Klebsiella sp. Its description in RNAcentral is "bacterial SSU rRNA". It matches the Rfam family "Bacterial small subunit ribosomal RNA", at positions 338 to 795 of the family's 1533-position model. Lineage: Bacteria; Pseudomonadati; Pseudomonadota; Gammaproteobacteria; Enterobacterales; Enterobacteriaceae. The record is from RNAcentral.